Molecule: ribosomal RNA, 624 nt
Filed under: uncultured Prevotella sp.
Lineage: Bacteria; Pseudomonadati; Bacteroidota; Bacteroidia; Bacteroidales; Prevotellaceae
Description: bacterial SSU rRNA
Rfam family: Bacterial small subunit ribosomal RNA
Source: RNAcentral
GAUGAACGCUAGCUACAGGCUUAACACAUGCAAGUCGAGGGGCAGCAUGUCGGUUGCUUGCAACCGACGAUGGCGACCGGCGCACGGGUGAGUAACGCGUAUCCAACCUACCCUUGUCCAUCGGAUAACCCGUCGAAAGGCGGCCUAACACGAUAUGCGGUUCACCGCAGGCAUCUAACGUGAACGAAAUGUGAAGGAGAAGGAUGGGGAUGCGUCUGAUUAGCUUGUUGGUGGGGUAACGGCCCACCAAGGCUACGAUCAGUAGGGGUUCUGAGAGGAAGGUCCCCCACAUUGGAACUGAGACACGGUCCAAACUCCUACGGGAGGCAGCAGUGAGGAAUAUUGGUCAAUGGACGGGAGUCUGAACCAGCCAAGUAGCGUGCAGGAUGACGGCCCUAUGGGUUGUAAACUGCUUUUAUAGGGGGAUAAAGUGUGCCACGUGUGGCAUAUUGCAGGUACCCUAUGAAUAAGGACCGGCUAAUUCCGUGCCAGCAGCCGCGGUAAUACGGAAGGUCCGGGCGUUAUCCGGAUUUAUUGGGUUUAAAGGGAGCGUAGGCCGUCUUAUAAGCGUGUUGUGAAAUGUCGGGGCUCAACCUGGGCAUUGCAGCGCGAACUGUGAGACUU